GAUGAACGCUGGCGGCGUGCCUAAUACAUGCAAGUCGAGCGAACGGACGAGAAGCUUGCUUUUCUGAUGUUAGCGGCGGACGGGUGAGUAACACGUGGAUAACCUACCUAUAAGACUGGGAUAACUUCGGGAAACCGGAGCUAAUACCGGAUAAUAUUUUGAACCGCAUGGUUCAAAAGUGAAGGACGGUCUUGCUGUCACUUAUAGAUGGAUCCGCGCUGCAUUAGCUAGUUGGUAAGGUAACGGCUUACCAAGGCAACGAUGCAUAGCCGACCUGAGAGGGUGAUCGGCCACACUGGAACUGAGACACGGUCCAGACUCCUACGGGAGGCAGCAGUAGGGAAUCUUCCGCAAUGGGCGAAAGCCUGACGGAGCAACGCCGCGUGAGUGAUGAAGGUCUUCGGAUCGUAAAACUCUGUUAUUAGGGAAGAACAUAUGUGUAAGUAACUGUGCACAUCUUGACGGUACCUAAUCAGAAAGCCACGGCUAACUACGUGCCAGCAGCCGCGGUAAUACGUAGGUGGCAAGCGUUAUCCGGAAUUAUUGGGCGUAAAGCGCGCGUAGGCGGUUUUUUAAGUCUGAUGUGAAAGCCCACGGCUCAACCGUGGAGGGUCAUUGGAAACUGGAAAACUUGAGUGCAGAAGGGGAAAGUGGAAUUCCAUGUGUAGCGGUGAAAUGCGCAGAGAUGUGGAGGAACACCAGUGGCGAAGGCGACUUUCUGGUCUGUAACUGACGCUGAUGUGCGAAAGCGUGGGGAUCAAACAGGAUUAGAUACCCUGGUAGUCCACGCCGUAAACGAUGAGUGCUAAGUGUUAGGGGGUUUCCGCCCCUUAGUGCUGCAGCUAACGCAUUAAGCACUCCGCCUGGGGAGUACGACCGCAAGGUUGAAACUCAAAGGAAUUGACGGGGGCCCGCACAAGCGGUGGAGCAUGUGGUUUAAUUCGAAGCAACGCGAAGAACCUUACCAAAUCUUGACAUCCUUUGACAACUCUAGAGAUAGAGCCUUCCCCUUCGGGGGACAAAGUGACAGGUGGUGCAUGGUUGUCGUCAGCUCGUGUCGUGAGAUGUUGGGUUAAGUCCCGCAACGAGCGCAACCCUUAAGCUUAGUUGCCAUCAUUAAGUUGGGCACUCUAAGUUGACUGCCGGUGACAAACCGGAGGAAGGUGGGGAUGACGUCAAAUCAUCAUGCCCCUUAUGAUUUGGGCUACACACGUGCUACAAUGGACAAUACAAAGGGCAGCGAAACCGCGAGGUCAAGCAAAUCCCAUAAAGUUGUUCUCAGUUCGGAUUGUAGUCUGCAACUCGACUACGUGAAGCUGGAAUCGCUAGUAAUCGUAGAUCAGCAUGCUACGGUGAAUACGUUCCCGGGUCU
This 1372-nucleotide ribosomal RNA is filed under the name uncultured bacterium. RNAcentral's name for it is "bacterial SSU rRNA". It matches the Rfam family "Bacterial small subunit ribosomal RNA", at positions 28 to 1381 of the family's 1533-position model. The record is from RNAcentral.